AAAAAAAAGAAGAAGAAGAUUUUCAAAUGAUAUCAAAUAUGUACUUCCGGGCGCCAUCUUUGGGUAGAUUCUAAGGACCAAUAGUAUUCGAGUAUUCUCAUGAAAUCGUGAAGUAAAGCGUAAGACAUAGGAGCGCGGUCAAGUGCUCAUUUCCGUUUUCGAAUCCUACGUCAGCUACUCUGAAAGCCCGUGUGUUUUGUGUUUCUUUGGGGCCAUGAUGAUUCUCGCUAAUUUAACGUUCAAACUGUUGAAUUUGAAACUACACUUCUGGAGAUCAUAAAAAACAAUUAAAUAAAAAUUUAAAAAAAAAA
This is a long non-coding RNA of Polistes dominula (European paper wasp), 311 nucleotides long. The record is from RefSeq and is a predicted model, not a curated record. Lineage: Eukaryota; Metazoa; Arthropoda; Insecta; Hymenoptera; Vespidae.